This is a long non-coding RNA of Haliotis rubra (blacklip abalone), 118 nucleotides long. RefSeq lists it as uncharacterized. The transcript is spliced from 3 exons. The record is from RefSeq and is a predicted model, not a curated record. Lineage: Eukaryota; Metazoa; Mollusca; Gastropoda; Lepetellida; Haliotidae.
GUCUUCUUCAAUAUAGUAAUAGUAAUAGUCCGCUUAUAUGGCGCUCAUAUCCAGACACAUUACCUGCUCACGGCGCCACGUACAUUACUAUCCUCGGUCAUAGGACACCAUCGUACGA